AGGGAAUCUUCCACAAUGGGCGAAAGCCUGAUGGAGCAAUGCCGCGUGAGUGAAGAAGGUUUUCGGAUCGUAAAACUCUGUUGUUGAAGAAGAACAUGCGUGAGAGUAACUGUUCACGUACUGACGGUAUUCAACCAGAAAGCCACGGCUAACUACGUG
Molecule: ribosomal RNA, 159 nt
Filed under: uncultured bacterium
Lineage: Bacteria
Description: partial 16S ribosomal RNA
Rfam family: Bacterial small subunit ribosomal RNA
Source: RNAcentral